Molecule: ribosomal RNA, 624 nt
Filed under: uncultured bacterium
Lineage: Bacteria
Description: bacterial SSU rRNA
Rfam family: Bacterial small subunit ribosomal RNA
Source: RNAcentral
UAAUACAAGAUGGCAUCAUGAGUCCGCAUGUUCACAUGAUUAAAGGUAUUCCGGUAGACGAUGGGGAUGCGUUCCAUUAGAUAGUAGGCGGGGUAACGGCCCACCUAGUCUUCGAUGGAUAGGGGUUCUGAGAGGAAGGUCCCCCACAUUGGAACUGAGACACGGUCCAAACUCCUACGGGAGGCAGCAGUGAGGAAUAUUGGUCAACGGGCGAGAGCCUGAACCAGCCAAGUAGCGUGAAGGAUGACUGCCCUAUGGGUUGUAAACUUCUUUUAUAAAGGAAUAAAGUCGGGUAUGGAUACCCGUUUGCAUGUACUUUAUGAAUAAGGAUCGGCUAACUCCGUGCCAGCAGCCGCGGUAAUACGGAGGAUCCGAGCGUUAUCCGGAUUUAUUGGGUUUAAAGGGAGCGUAGAUGGAUGUUUAAGUCAGUUGUGAAAGUUUGCGGCUCAACCGUAAAAUUGCAGUUGAUACUGGAUAUCUUGAGUGCAGUUGAGGCAGGCGGAAUUCGUGGUGUAGCGGUGAAAUGCUUAGAUAUCACGAAGAACUCCGAUUGCGAAGGCAGCCUGCUAAGCUGCAACUGACAUUGAGGCUCGAAAGUGUGGGUAUCAAACAGGAUUAGAUACC